RNAcentral lists this ribosomal RNA (483 nucleotides) under Gemella morbillorum. RNAcentral's name for it is "bacterial SSU rRNA". It matches the Rfam family "Bacterial small subunit ribosomal RNA", at positions 28 to 495 of the family's 1533-position model. Lineage: Bacteria; Bacillati; Bacillota; Bacilli; Caryophanales; Gemellaceae. The record is from RNAcentral.
GACGAACGCUGGCGGCGUGCCUAAUACAUGCAAGUCGAGCGAAGUUUUUUGGUGCUUGCACUAGAAAAACUUAGCGGCGAACGGGUGAGUAACACGUAAAGAACCUGCCUCAUAGACUGGGACAACUAUUGGAAACGAUAGCUAAUACCGGAUAACAGCAUUAACUGCAUGGUUGAUGUUUGAAAGUUGGUUAUGCUAACACUAUGAGAUGGCUUUGCGGUGCAUUAGCUAGUUGGUGGGGUAAAGGCCCACCAAGGCGACGAUGCAUAGCCGACCUGAGAGGGUGAUCGGCCACACUGGGACUGAGACACGGCCCAGACUCCUACGGGAGGCAGCAGUAGGGAAUCUUCCGCAAUGGGCGAAAGCCUGACGGAGCAACGCCGCGUGAGUGAAGAAGGAUUUCGGUUCGUAAAGCUCUGUUGUUAGGGAAGAAUGGAUAUGUAGUAACCAUACAUGUACGAGACGGACCUACCAGAAGCCCGG